This 235-nucleotide long non-coding RNA is filed under the name Capsicum annuum. Its description in RNAcentral is "long non-coding RNA (CANN_LNC015869)". The record is from RNAcentral. Lineage: Eukaryota; Viridiplantae; Streptophyta; Magnoliopsida; Solanales; Solanaceae.
AGGAAGCUGAGCGUUCGAACCUAUGAUAUGAUACAUCAUAACACAAGAAAAGAGUAUGUGAUCAGUAUGUGGAAUGUACUUGUAUAGUAGAUGAGGUAAGGCUAAAAUGCAUGGGUUCAUAUGCAUGAACAAUAAGUAACGAGUGAUAUAAAUAUAAUAACUUAAUAAAAAUACAUGGAUAACUAAAACUACAGUAAAUACUGAGUAUGCAAUACUGUACAUUUACAUAUAUAUA